ACGUGAUCUGAGUUCAGACCGGAGCAAUCCAGGUCAGUUUCUAUCUAUAAUAGGGGCUUUCUCCAGUACGAAAGGACCGACAAAGCACGGCCAAUAUAUCACGCAAGCCGUAACUAAUAAAAUAUGACUAAGUCUCAACAAAUAAAUAGUCCUUCACGUAACUUAAAAAAAAAGU
This 175-nucleotide ribosomal RNA is filed under the name Phyllodytes melanomystax. Its description in RNAcentral is "partial 16S ribosomal RNA". The record is from RNAcentral. Lineage: Eukaryota; Metazoa; Chordata; Amphibia; Anura; Hylidae.